CGGGGUGCACCAGGCGCGAAAACUCUACAAUGCAGGCAACUGCGAUAGGGGAACAUCGAGUGAUCCUCAUAUUGGGGGUCUGUCCCACCGUCUAAAAAACGGUGGUUAGCAAGGGCCGGGCAAGACCGGUGCCAGCCGCCGCGGUAAUACCGGCGGCUCGAGUGGUGGCCGAUAUUAUUGAGUCUAAAGGGUCCGUAGCCGGCUUUGCAGGUCUUUUGGGAAAUCCAGCGGCUUAACCGUUGGUCGUCCGGGAGAUACUACAUUGCUUGGGACUGGGAGAGGUAGGAGGUACUCAGGGGGUAGGAGUGAAAUCCUGUAAUCCUUUGGGGACCACCGGUGGCGAAGGCGUCCUACCAGAACAGGUCCGACGGUGAGGGACGAAAGCUAGGGGCACGAACCGGAUUAGAUACCCGGGUAGUCCUAGCCGUAAACGAUGCUCGCUAGGUGUCACAACAAUCGUGAAUUGUUGUGGUGCCGUAGGGAAGCCGUGAAGCGAGCCACUUGGGAAGUACGACCGCAAGGUUGAAACUUAAAGGAAUUGGCGGGGGAGCACAAGGGCGAAUGCGG
RNAcentral lists this ribosomal RNA (567 nucleotides) under uncultured archaeon. RNAcentral's name for it is "bacterial SSU rRNA". It matches the Rfam family "Archaeal small subunit ribosomal RNA", at positions 326 to 893 of the family's 1478-position model. The record is from RNAcentral.